UGGGAUAGCUCAGCUAGUACAGCAUGAGACUCUAAACCUCAGGGUCAUGGGAUCAAACCCUACGCUGGGAAAAG
Molecule: non-coding RNA, 74 nt
Organism: Podarcis lilfordi (Lilford's wall lizard)
Lineage: Eukaryota; Metazoa; Chordata; Lepidosauria; Squamata; Lacertidae
Source: the annotation of a GenBank genome assembly